AUCAAUUCACUAGGAGCCAGUUAAAUUAUUCUUUACGGAAAGCAUCUUUGGUGCAAGUUCCUCCUGCACUAUGGAAUAAUGUAAUAGCUUUGAUGUUUUCAUGGAGAUUCAAAGCAUGCAAAGCACAAAGCUUCCAUAUUGACAAUUCAUUAAAUGUGUGCACAUAUUAAAUUUAAAACCUAAUUAUUAGCUAUCCAGAUCCCAUAAAGUUGAUACUUGG
Molecule: unclassified non-coding RNA, 220 nt
Filed under: Hevea brasiliensis (rubber tree)
Lineage: Eukaryota; Viridiplantae; Streptophyta; Magnoliopsida; Malpighiales; Euphorbiaceae
Source: RNAcentral